RNAcentral lists this long non-coding RNA (4399 nucleotides) under Brassica napus (rape). Its description in RNAcentral is "long non-coding RNA (BNAP_LNC012581)". The record is from RNAcentral. Lineage: Eukaryota; Viridiplantae; Streptophyta; Magnoliopsida; Brassicales; Brassicaceae.
CUCUCUCUCUUUAGGGUUUUCAAUCACAAAUCCGAAUGGCAGCACAUCGUCACCAAUUGUUCACAUACGCCCUCCAACCUUCUCUCGCCGCCGCCUCCACCGUUUCCCCCGCUCCUCCUCCGCCGCAACCGCUACCGCAACCGCAGCAAAGUCUCUCCCUUUCUUCUCUCUACGCCUCCUCCGCCGCCGACCGCUACUACCCCGACGCCACGUUCCGCUUCUUAUCCCGCGACGGAUCCGAAGCUUUGACCAACUACCAAGCAACGGUUGCUUCUUCUUCCUCUUCUUCGGCCAUGUACCACCACCACCAUCUCCCCAACGCGGCGGCGGCGUCGCAUUUGGCUUACCCUCCUCAGCUGAUUCAUCAGGAAGCUUGGCCGCCUGGCGUCGAGCCUCCCGCCGCCGCCGCCGCCGCCGCUCUUCCUCCUGGAGUCAAACGCACCUCUGAAGGUCUGUCCUUUUACCAAUUCUCAGAUCUGCAUCGUUUGAUUCAUUAAAGUCUUCACCUUUAUUGCUUUUGGAGAGCCUUAAAGUCUUCACCUUUCCGUUUCCUAUGCUCUCAUCGUGAUUCAAUCUUGAUGGUUCCUUCAAUUGCAGCAUUAAAAAACGUUGCUUUAACUGAGAUUAAGGCAUUAGAACACACUGCUUGCUAUUCUAGGAUAGAUCUUGACUUACACUGUUUGUGUUACUUACCCCAACGAUUUUUGAAUUGGUUAGUCAAUGGGUUCUUUUGUGUUUGGGAUACCACUAAGCUUUACAGAAGUUAGAAUCAUCUCUAAGGAUAUUUGACUACUGUAAUGCUAUUAAUUACAUCUCUGUUAAAGUAUAUUUGACUACUGUAAUGUUAUUAAUUAGUCUUUGUUUGCUUUAAUAUUUUAGAAAAGACAGUUAGUUUUUUGUUCCCUUAAAAGUUAUCUUUUCUUGCAACUCUUUCCAAUAAACUUUUUCAAAAGGAAGACAUACCUACUGUAAACUCUAAGUUAUGUUUUCUGCUGUAUUAUUUCGUAUAUUUCAUUAUCCUCAAGUUUAUUUUCAAGAUAUAAAUAUACAGCAGCAUAUAUAUAUAUAUAUAUAUAUACCUUCUCAUGUUGUUGUAUAUUACUGUUUAUUAUGUAAUAUAGCGCUCUACUAUCCGACUCUCUACGGUGCCCAUAAUCCAAUGGGUCAGACGGAAGCUUGGUAUACUACGGACUACUUAACCAAGCGCCUUAAGUUGGAGAGUACGACGCAUUUGCCUGUCUAUCCACAGCGGGCAGGGGAGAAGGAUUGUACCCACUAUAUGCAAACAAGAACUUGUAAAUUUGGAGAGGGCUGCAAAAGUAGCACCAGAAUCUAACCACCAAGUGUUCCUAGGUACUUCAAUUAAGUUCAUUUCUGAGCAAACCAAAGCAAGGAACAUACCUUUCUUAGCACGCCAAGCGUGAUAUUUAGGGCAAUCCUUCUUUAUGUGUCCACCCUUCCUGCAAAAGAAACAUGUAUCUUCAACCUUAGCAUGUUUCUUUUGGGUAGGACCCUUAGCAGCAUUAUCCUUAGUGGGCUCAAAUUUCUUUCUUUUGCCCUGUCCCUUAGAGGUGUAAACCAUAUGAGAACUUUCGGUCCUCUCUUGUUUCAUCCUCUCUUCCUCUUGCACACAAUAUGCAAUGAGCUCGUUAAGAGACCAUUGCUCCUUCUGUGUGUUAUAACUUGAUUUCAGCUGACUGAACUGAGGAGGAAGAGAGUUCAAGACAAAGUAUAUGAGCAAUUCAGCCGGAAGCUCAGUCUUAAGUGUCUUGAGUUUCGAAACAAUGUUGGACAUUUCCAAAAUGUACUCCCUUAUUUUUCCAUUGCCAUGGUACCUCAUCGUACUAAAGCGAUGCAAAAGCAUGCUAAUUUCCGCCUUAUCGCUUCUUGCGAAACGGGAAUCCAUCUCGGCAAGGAACUGUUUGAGAUCAUUGAUCUCCUCACCACCUCUGAAGGCUUCUGGAAUGGUGUCCUUAAUGAUCAUCAAACCAAUGCGGUUAGAACGCUCCCACUUCUCAUGAACAGCCUUAUAUUCCGAAGUGCUGUCAUCCGUAGGAGAAGAAGGUUUGUCCAUCCUGAGCGCAAGGUCAAGAUCCAUACACCCAAGAACAAUCUUCACUUUACUUUUCCAUUCCGAAAAAUUGGAACCCGUAAGAAUUGGAAUGGAUCCUAAGUUGGCAGAUAAAGUAGCUGAAAAGAGAGAACAAAACCGAGUUAACUCAAUAUCCGAAGAAAUCAAUGAUAAAUUUUAACUGAUUAUACUUCCCAUCCAAGAUACCAAAUGUAACAUCAAUAUCAAGUCUUUGGACAGUAAUAUUGACUACUAGCAGUACUCUUGUAAUAACAAUCAAAUAUUGACAAUAAUCCACGAUAAACAAUAAACCUUCCUUUGGGCCGAUUUAUUAUUUACAUGUUGAAACCAUAUAAUUGUCAUGUAUUCAUCAUCAUAAUUGUAUGUACAAUUCGGCCAAAAAUUAAGUCUUCCUUUGGGCCGACUCAACAUCCGCAUGAAUAUUGCACACACGUAUAUAUAUAAAUUUCGGCCAAACACAACCUUCCUUUGGGCCGAUUAAAUAUUCGCCAUGAACUUACAUACAUACUUCCUUUAAUAAUUCUCAUGAAAAAUCUUCUCAAGAGAGGUCUUCCUUUGGGCCGACAUCUUGAUUAAAUUAACCAAUCAAAUUAUUAAAUAUGUAUAAUCAAAUUUAUUAAUUGAUUUAAAGCUGAAUUUUAUUCUUGCACAUACAUAUAAGUGAACGUAUGUAGGUUCUUUAUGCAAGAAUACUUAAGCGGGAGAGUGGUUGGAGGCAGCAAGGGAGGUGCCAGCUUUAGUCACGCGACCUGGGUUCGAAUCCCACACUCUUGUUUUUUAACUUAAUUAAAGCUGGAUGGGCCUAACUUAAUGUUUGUACCAAACUGGCCCAACUGAUUUAAAACAUAAGAAAAUGGGCCAAAAUAAUUAAAUUCGCAGGCCCAGAAUAAUUAAUUAAAUCAGAAAUUUUAUUUGGGCCAAACAACUAACAAGCCCAUCACGAAUCUGCCUCCCACCUUGGGUAUUGUCAAACAAUUUUUUCAACUUUAAUACCUAAAAAACAGAUCUAACCAAAUCUGGAAAAAAUUGUUCCACAAAAAAAAAAAAAUGAAAAUUUUCAACAAAAUUUCAGAAAGUAUAAACCUUAUGAACAAUAUUUUCCAUCAAUAAAACCUUAAACCUUAUUUAGAUAUAAAUCUUAAACAUAGAUAACAACCAAAGAUCUAUAUCUAACAUGCAUGGUCCCAAAAUUCAACAUAAACUUUAGAAAAAAACAGAUUGAACAAUCCAAUAUUUUCACAUAAUAAUUAAAUUCGAAUUUAAAAUACAAACUUUAGAUUAAAUUCGAAAUUAUUUUAGAUCCAAAUAGAAAAUCAAUAUGGUGGCUCUGAUACCAAUUGUUAAUUUUAUUUCUUUAUGAUUCAUCAAUUUGAAUCUCAUAACCAUAUAAUUCUCUAUUUGAAUAGACAAAGGGGAAAACAUACCUUGUGAAUCCAUGACUCAAUGAUCUAUGGCAAGAGAAUGGAUCUUCCAAUACAAACCCCUUGUUGACCUUAGCUCUCCAUUGAUGGGAUAUGGAGUUUUUCACUUAAUGUCAAGUUAGGUUGCAUUGGGGACCAUAACCCAUGAUGUAGAAGUAAUUUCUUGUUCAACCCUUCACUAAACUAGAAAUCACAUAAGGCAUCCACAUAUAAUAUUUCAUAACAUUUUAUGCCCAAACUUAUUAAUGGUCAUAUCACAUUUAUUCCUUAACAUAUGUGACCCAACCAAAAUGAUCUUACAUAAAGUGCAACAAGACCAGUGAGGAAGAAUCAAAGUUGAAGUCUCUGUUCGGUCUCUUUGUUAACUUCGGUGUUUAUUAUUAUUAUUAUGUAAUAAUAAAACAAAAAAAGCUCACAACUUUAUAAAUCUAUUUAUUGAUAAUGAUAAGAAACAAAGAGUAAUUUAAUAAAAAAAGAAAAAAGAAACUAAAGAGAAUCAGUGAAGAGAUGUCAAAUCAGUUUCGUGGGAUCUGAGAGAGAGAGAGAGAGAGAAGAAGAGAGAAACAAACCUCUCUCUCUUUAGGGUUUUCAAUCACAAAUCCGAAUGGCAGCACAUCGUCACCAAUUGUUCACAUACGCCCUCCAACCUUCUCUCGCCGCCGCCUCCACCGUUUCCCCCGCUCCUCCUCCGCCGCAACCGCUACCGCAACCGCAGCAAAGUCUCUCCCUUUCUUCUCUCUACGCCUCCUCCGCCGCCGACCGCUACUACCCCGACGCCACGUUCCGCUUCUUAUCCCGCGACGGAUCCGAAGCUUUGACCAACUACCAAGCAACGGUUGCUUCUUCUUCCUCUUCUUCGGCCAUGUACCACCACCACCAUCUCCCC